This 216-nucleotide long non-coding RNA is filed under the name Elaeis guineensis (African oil palm). RNAcentral describes it as "long non-coding RNA (EGUI_LNC013987)". Lineage: Eukaryota; Viridiplantae; Streptophyta; Magnoliopsida; Arecales; Arecaceae. The record is from RNAcentral.
UCCUCCUUAAUGUUACCACCACCCUCAUCCCCUAGAUCUUUCAUCAUCAAAGCUGCCGCCCUCUGCUACUAGCGCUGGAAGAACCCCCACCACUGCCCUCUUCCUCCUUUCCUCCUCUUCGAACUCUCUACUCUCCCCCUACUCUCCUCUGCCAUCUUCUCUGCCACUCCCCCCCUCCCCUCUUUCCUCUGCUCCACUGCCCACCACCUUUGCUCC